GCCUGUCAAAUAGCUCAAGUGGUUGAGCACAAGACUCUUAUCCUCAGAGACGUGGGUUCUAGCUUCACUUUGGGCA
This is a non-coding RNA of Podarcis lilfordi (Lilford's wall lizard), 76 nucleotides long. NCBI's taxonomy places the organism in Eukaryota, Metazoa, Chordata, Lepidosauria, Squamata, Lacertidae. The record is from the annotation of a GenBank genome assembly.